Molecule: ribosomal RNA, 252 nt
Filed under: uncultured bacterium
Lineage: Bacteria
Description: partial 16S ribosomal RNA
Rfam family: Bacterial small subunit ribosomal RNA
Source: RNAcentral
UACGUAGGGGGCAAGCGUUGUCCGGAAUCAUUGGGCGUAAAGGGCGCGUAGGCGGGCAUAUAAGUCUGAUGUGAAAGUGCGGAGCUUAACUCCGUAAAGCAUUGGAAACUGUAUGUCUUGAGGACAGGAGAGGAAAGUGGAAUUCCACGUGUAGCGGUGAAAUGCGUAGAGAUGUGGAGGAACACCAGUGGCGAAGGCGACUUUCUGGACUGUAACUGACGCUGAGGCGCGAAAGCGUGGGGAGCGAACAGG